AGAUGUUUCAAGGUAGACCUUGCAAGAAUAUGUAUCCUAAUGAAUAUUUUCCUCAUGGAAUAACAAAUGGAGCUAGUUGGUAUAAUGUGCCAGGAGGAAUGCAGGACUGGAACUAUUUACAAACAAAUUGCUUUGAAGUGACUAUUGAACUAGGUUGUGUGAAAUAUCCACUUGAGAAAGAGCUGCCAAACUUUUGGGAACAGAAUCGAAGAUCACUAAUCCAGUUUAUGAAACAGGUUCAUCAGGGCGUCAAAGGAUUUGUUCUAGAUGCCACAGAUGGCAGGGGUAUAUUAAAUGCCACCAUUAGUGUUGCUGAGAUUAAUCACCCAGUGACUACUUACAAAACUGGAGAUUACUGGCGUCUCUUGGUUCCAGGAACUUAUAAAAUCACAGCAUCUGCUCGAGGGUGAGUGACUGAAUGCUUUGAAAUAGAGUGCUUGGAGGACAAACAUGGCUCCAUUCUGGAGGAUUAUUACUAGAACGUUCUAGAGAGCCUGUUAAGCAACUUUGAAUGGAUUGCUGGGAAGUUUAGGGCUGGUUAUACCUUUGACUCUCCUUUAGUGGCAGAUAGAGUACAUG
Molecule: small RNA, 579 nt
Filed under: Pan troglodytes (chimpanzee)
Lineage: Eukaryota; Metazoa; Chordata; Mammalia; Primates; Hominidae
Description: retained intron
Source: RNAcentral